Molecule: small nuclear RNA, 101 nt
Filed under: Suricata suricatta (meerkat)
Lineage: Eukaryota; Metazoa; Chordata; Mammalia; Carnivora; Herpestidae
Source: RNAcentral
GUGCUCGCUUUGGCAGCACAUAUACUAAAAAUGGAACAGUACAGAGAAGAUUAGGAAGGCCCCCGUGCAAGAAUGACAUGCAAUUUGCAAAGCAUUUCAUU